UACGGGGGGGGCAAGCGUUGUUCGGAAUUACUGGGCGUAAAGGGCUCGUAGGUGGCCAACUAAGUCAGACGUGAAAUCCCCAGGCUCAACUUGGGAACUGCGUCUGAUACUGGAUGGCUUGAAUUCGGGAGAGGGAUGCAGAAUUCCAGGUGUAGCGGUGAAGUGCGUAGAUAUCUGGAGGAAUACCGGUGGCGAAGGCGGCAUCCUGGACCGGCAUUGACGCUGAGGAGCGAAAGCCAGGGGAGCAAACGGG
RNAcentral lists this ribosomal RNA (253 nucleotides) under uncultured bacterium. RNAcentral describes it as "partial 16S ribosomal RNA". It matches the Rfam family "Bacterial small subunit ribosomal RNA", at positions 524 to 776 of the family's 1533-position model. The record is from RNAcentral.